This 938-nucleotide ribosomal RNA is filed under the name uncultured bacterium. Its description in RNAcentral is "bacterial SSU rRNA". It matches the Rfam family "Bacterial small subunit ribosomal RNA", at positions 551 to 1490 of the family's 1533-position model. The record is from RNAcentral.
UUACUGGGCGUAAAGCGCGCGUAGGUGGUUUAUUAAGUUGGGUGUGAAAGCCCCGGGCUCAACCUGGGAACUGCAUCCAAAACUGAUUCACUAGAGUACGAAAGAGGAAAGUAGAAUUCACAGUGUAGCGGUGGAAUGCGUAGAUAUUGUGAAGAAUACCGAUGGCGAAGGCAGCUUUCUGGUUCUGUACUGACACUGAGGUGCGAAAGCGUGGGUAGCGAACAGGAUUAGAUACCCUGGUAGUCCACGCCGUAAACGAUGACAACUAGCUGUUGGAAAGCUAUGCUUUUCAGUGGCGCAGCUAACGUCUUAAGUUGUCCGCCUGGGGAGUACGGCCGCAAGGUUAAAACUCAAAUGAAUUGACGGGGACCCGCACAAGCGGUGGAGCAUGUGGUUUAAUUCGAUGCAACGCGAAAAACCUUACCUACACUUGACAUACUUGGAAUCUUUUGUAAUGAAAGAGUGCCUUUUGGAGCCAAGAUACAGGUGCUGCAUGGCUGUCGUCAGCUCGUGUCGUGAGAUGUUGGGUUAAGUCCCAUAACGAGCGCAACCCUUACCCUUAUUUGCCAGCGAUUCGGUCGGGAACUAUAAGGGGACUGCCGGUGAUAAACCGGAGGAAGGUGAGGACGACGUCAAGUCAUCAUGGCCCUUACGUGUAGGGCUACACACGUGCUACGAUGGGGAGUACAGAUAGACGCUAAAGCGCGAGCUGGUGCUAAUCUCAUAAAACUCUUCGUAGUCCGGAUUGCAGUCUGCAACUCGACUGCAUGAAGUCGGAAUCGCUAGUAAUCGCGAAUCAGCAUGUCGCGGUGAAUACGUUCUCGGGUCUUGUACACACCGCCCGUCACACCAUGGGAGUGUAUUGCACCAGAAGUGGGUAGUCUAACCUUCGGGAGGGCGCUCACCACGGUGUGGUCCAUGACUGGGGUGAAGUCGUA